This 393-nucleotide ribosomal RNA is filed under the name uncultured bacterium. Its description in RNAcentral is "partial 16S ribosomal RNA". It matches the Rfam family "Bacterial small subunit ribosomal RNA", at positions 523 to 918 of the family's 1533-position model. The record is from RNAcentral.
AUACGGAGGAUGCGAGCGUUAUCCGGAUUUAUUGGGUUUAAAGGGUGCGUAGGCGGACGAUUAAGUCAGCUGUGAAAUGCCCGCGCUUAACGCGGGAAGUGCAGUUGAUACUGGUUGUCUGGAGUGCCGUUGCCGUGGGGGGAAUGUGUAGUGUAGCGGUGAAAUGCAUAGAUAUUACACAGAACGCCGAUUGUGAAGACACCUCACGAAGCGGUAACUGACGCUGAGGCACGAAAGCGUGGGGAUCGAACAGGAUUAGAUACCCUGGUAGUCCACGCAGUAAACGAUGAUGACUAACCGUCGGCGAUAGACCGCCAGUGGCCAAGCGAAAGCGAUAAGUCAUCCACCUGGGGAGUACGACCGCAAGGUUGAAACUCAAAUGAAUUGGCGGGG